Molecule: long non-coding RNA, 1110 nt
Filed under: Danio rerio (zebrafish)
Lineage: Eukaryota; Metazoa; Chordata; Actinopteri; Cypriniformes; Danionidae
Description: si:dkey-103g5.7 (ENSDARG00000096853.2)
Source: RNAcentral
ACAUUUGUUCACGUGUCUGGAGCUGCUGGAGUAGCAUGGUGGCGCAAGCACGACGAAGAUGUACCGAGGAGAGAACGUGAACAGUGUUUUUUCUGUCUGAACCAAUGAUGAACGCUACGGCUACUACAAAAAUGUGGUCAAGGGAAAUUAUGGAGGAGAACUGCGGUUGAAAUAUGAUUCAUUGAAUGGCUCUAUGCACCUACAGAUCCUUCAAAAACAAGGGAACAACAGUACAUUAGGCAUCUUUAUAGAGGCCACAUGAGGAUGUUGUUGAGAUGGGCUGAGAGGUCAGUGCACUGUUUUGUGAAUUUCCUAAAUGUUCCAGGAUGUCAGUUUUUACAGAGGAAGCUCUCACAAGCCGAUGACACCUUUAUGAUUCACUGAAUAGCCAGUUGUGGCAAUCUGAGCUUUUACAUUACAGUACUACAUCAAACCCCUGUGGGUUUCCCCGUCCUUCACUCCAGGUCACACAGUGCACAUCAAAGAGCAGACAUACAGACGGGAGAUGAGAUCAAACACUAGUGGGACAGAGGUCAGUAUACUUUACCUUUACUUUACUUUUUUAAAUGCAGAAAAUUCAUAGUCAUCAGAUCAUUGUUCUUUCCACACUACAUGAAUGUCUGUGCUAUUUAUUUCCAGUUGUGGGCAUGUUAAACAACAGAUCUGAAUAUGGAGCUCCCAUAUUACACAACAUUGAAAAUCGAUUGAGAUGUCAUUUCUUGUCGAUAUCACACACCCUUACUAUCGAGAACUACAUAUUAGGUGUAAAACGGGGCUGUGUGUAUCUGACAUUAGGGUACGUGCAAAGUUUGGCCUUCCAAAGUAUAUUCCAGUUGAUAGCUUGAAAAAACACAGGUGCUCGACACAUUGAAGAUUCAUCCACUGAGCCUUUUCUCUCCAAAGUUAAAGGGAUAGUUCUCCUAAAGGUGAAAAUGUACAGUUAAUUUACUCAUCCUCAAGCCACAAAAGAUGUAGAUGACUUUUUUCUAUUUUUUGUAUAACAGUAAAUAAGUAAAUACAUUUUUUGCUAAACCCUUGAUGCUUCGUAUAAUGCAAGCCAAUGGUCACCCAUUUUUGAGAUUAUAAAUAAACAUACAAGUAAGUUCAAAU